RNAcentral lists this long non-coding RNA (2502 nucleotides) under Homo sapiens (human). Its description in RNAcentral is "HSALNT0314585". The record is from RNAcentral. Lineage: Eukaryota; Metazoa; Chordata; Mammalia; Primates; Hominidae.
CUGCGCUCUGGCGGGAGGGCGCUUCUCUCGGCUUUUUAUAGCUUCAUGGCGGACCACGUUGAGAACAACAACAGCCUGGUCCGGGGCCAGCGCCAACUUGUGCUUCUUGGAGCCCCUUCUCCGGCCGCUGGCUUCUCGGACCGCGCCUCUCCAGCGCCGCCGCGCCCGCAGCGGGGCGCCCCGGACAGGGCCUGAGCUCCCGGCGCAGUGGAGAGGCGACUUGCGUCCUGGAAGGGCUCAGCAAAGGCGAACGGAGAGGUGCACCCUAGGCUGCGGGAGCGCGAGAGGAGGGGGGCACCUCGUUUGGAGGCCAAUAGCGCGGGCCCCAGAGGAGGCCCCACGGCCGGGAGCUUGGCGGCCGGCAACCCAGAGAACGCCACGGGCACCCGAGCCUUGUCCCGGCCCGGGGGGCUCCAGGCCUGCCCGCAAGAGGAGCUUUAAUUUGUCCAAACUAACACAGGGCGCGCCCUCACGUGGUCGGCUGGGGCAACGUGAACUGCGCUAGGACAUCCUCGGGGGUUUUCCGCCCCAUCCAAAGGGGAUGGCGGAUGGGAGGCACUCUCCAGCUGCACCCCGGGUUCUGGUUGUGCCUCUGGGAGCCUAGGCACAACCCGGGGAAUGGAGGACUACGGCAGGACCUCUCUAGGGACACUGCCUCGCCGCUCCCCCCACCCUGUUGCCGCUGAUGUUCCCAGGGCCUCAUUUUGUAAUCCACAAGUAGCUGCCGCCGGUCCCCCCAAAGCCAAAUGGGGGCUCCAGGGUGGGACAGGGUGGGCGGGGGUGAGGCUGUGACACCCAGAGGAAUUCCUGUGAGAGGAUGGGGAAGGGAUUCGCUCUUAGUUCCUGGGUGCACCCCUCCCCCUCUCCCGUGCACAGGGAAAUGAUGGCGGGAACACAGCAAAGGAGACCAUGUCCUGGAGAGGGUCCCGGGCCCCACCCUCCCCGGGGGGGCUUGUGCAAGGCUGGCGGCCCGAUCUCUGCUGAUUCCAGUAUUGGGGGUGCAGAGAAGGCACAGGACAGUUUUUGUUGAAGCCGUUGCAGCCUCCACUUGGGGAAGCUGAGGCCAGGAGCACCAGGUACCCUGAGAAAAGUGAGAAGAGAGAUUGCAGCCCAGGUCCCUGCAGAGGAGGAUGGGCUCCUUUCCCAGGAAGGACUGGCUGAGUGGACUGUCUCCAGGGCACAGGACAACGUUGAGGGCCUGAGGCCUCCACCUUCUUGAAGAAGGACCAUGUGAAUUUCCUGACAGAGAACGGGGAUGGGUUUCUGAAAGCACCACCCAGCUGAGCCUGCCGAAACUGCACAGCUGUUUCCAGGCCAGGCUGGCUGCAUGGAGGACGUGAGAGGAACAGCCAGCUGUGUGUGCUGGGCCCACUGAUCAGGGUGCUCAGGACCAGGAGCCUUCUGAGGAUGUGCAGAGGGGACUCUGGGGAGAGGAACAUGGUGGCCACAGCUGGAGUGACCGCAGUGUACAGAGAUGGGAUGGGAGCAGGAAACCCAAAAGAGCCGGCCCUGGAACCAGGUGGAGGGGAGGCAGCCCGGCCAUGACCCAGAGCAGGACACCUGCUCCACUUCACCUUUUGCCAUGAGUAAAAGCUCCCUGAGGCCUCCCAAGAAGUUGAUGCCCUGUGCUUCCUGUACAGCUGCGGAACCGGAUGGCUUUCCGUGGCUUUGCUACAGCCACUCCUGGAAGUGCUGCCUGACUGAAUCCUCAGGGCACCCCGGCAGGAUGGACGUGGUGUACCCCCUACUUUACAGAUGGGGAAACUGAGGCUUGAGAGCUAAAGCAGCCCACCCAGCUCCCAGAGAUGAGGAGGCCGACUCUGGCAGGAGUCACUGUCGGUGCAUGGGCAUUUCUUCCUGUUACAGCCUGCGGCCCCUUCCAGGCCGGGAGGCCUUCUGCGCAGGGUAGGAAAAUGGGAACACCCAGGCCGAUUUUCCGAUCAGCAAAGCUCUGCUCCCUAAGGCUGAUGGGCUUCUUAAAGACAAAGGAAAAAAGAACCCAGGAUUGCCCUGACGUGAUGGUAUGACCCAUUCUGGGAGGCCGAGAGCACCUCAAAGAACUCAGCAGGAAGCACAGUUUCAAUUCAGAAGUUCUGGAAGGCGAGGCAGGACAGGGCACCCUCCCUGCAUGGCCCGAUGACCUGCACUCCUGUUUCAUCUCCCCGUGUGGCACCUGGGGCAGCUUGGAGCCUACCAAGGUCUCAACAAGGAACCAGUAAAUACCAAAAAAAGGACAUCACGUCCCCUACAGCUAACUGCAAAUGGUGACCAUCCCAGCCCUUGUUUGAUAACACAAGCAAAGCAAUGGCUUCUUCAAGGACACCGAGAGGAACCUCACCUCUUUCUAAAACCUCCAACACAGGGCCAGGCGCGGUGGCUCAUGCGUGUAAUCCCAGCACUUUGGGAGGCCGAGGCAGGUGGAUCACGAGGUCAGGAGAUCGAGACCAUCCUGGCUAACACGGUGAAACCCCGUCUCUACUAAAAAUAAAAAAAAUUAGCCGG